This 405-nucleotide unclassified non-coding RNA is filed under the name soil metagenome. RNAcentral describes it as "partial contains 5.8S ribosomal RNA, internal transcribed spacer 2, and large subunit ribosomal RNA". The stretch from base 1 to 121 matches the Rfam family "5.8S ribosomal RNA", at positions 35 to 154 of the family's 154-position model. The record is from RNAcentral.
GAUGAAGAACGUAGCGAAAUGCGAUAAGUAAUGUGAAUUGCAGAAUUCAGUGAAUCAUCGAAUAUUUGAACGCACCUUGCGCCCUUUGGACAUUCCGAAGGGCAUGCCUGUUUGAGUAUCAUGAACACCUCAACUCUCACGGCUUGUCCGUGAUGAGCUUGGACUUUGGGGGUCUUGCCGGCCUGUGGUCGGCUCCUCUCAAAUGGAUCAGCUUGCCAGUGUUUGGUGGCAUCACAGGUGUGAUAACUAUCUGCGCUUGUGGUUUUCCAUCAGAUAACCUUCAGUGAUAUGGAGGUUCGCUGGAGCUCACAAAUGUCUCUCCUUAGUGAGGACAGCUCUUUGAACGUUUGAUCUCAAAUCAGGUAGGACUACCCGCUGAACUUAAGCAUAUCAAUAAGCGGAGGA